Gossypium arboreum is the source of this 132-nucleotide non-coding RNA. The record is from Rfam. NCBI's taxonomy places the organism in Eukaryota, Viridiplantae, Streptophyta, Magnoliopsida, Malvales, Malvaceae.
UAUUAAAAUUUUUAUCUAUUUAUAUUAUUAAAAAUUGGUGCGACUGACAGAAUAACCAGGCACUCCAUGUAUACCUCAUGUUGAUGUACAAUAACAAAUUUUUAAUAAUAAAAAUAGAUAAAAAUUUUAACA